CUCUCCAUUGAUAUGGAAAGGUUGCUGAGGGUGGUGAAUCACCUGCCUAACUCCAGCCCAGAGUCCCCUUCUCAUUUUGAAAUUGGCUCAUGAUUUCUUUUAGCAUCCCUCGAGGACGGUCAUAUUCCAGUGAUGGUUUGAAGACUCUAUGAUUGUUUCCUCGCAAGGCGUUUCGUUUUACUUUUAACUUUCCUUCAAGCCCAAGGUUCAGAAAGCAGCGCUGUGCUCUGUGCCUGCUGGCCAUCGGCUGUGCAGCAAAGCUUUGGUGCUUCAAGGAGAGGGUGAGAUGCUCUGCAAGAUUUGAAAACGUCCCGAUUUUUAUUCCUGAAGAGUUAAAUGACGUGGAUUUACACUGACAUACGCAUACAGGCAGCUUUUUUCCCCCCCCAGCAGGUACAGAAGUGAGUGCCUGGUGUGACACCUGUGAACGGAGCUGCACAAAGCAGCAGUGACAGCGUGGUUCCCGCAGCAGAACUCAGUGCCACGCUGCUGCUCACUGCUCCAGCUUCCCUUCUCCUGGAUUUGUGGUUCAUCUUGCAAGGAUAUUCCCAUGCAGCCUGAAACAUGAGAUUGGUUAAGGUGCUGAGGAUGUUAAUGAGCCAAAGUGGAUAAUGCUCAGCUGUUCUAAUAGGUACGUG
RNAcentral lists this long non-coding RNA (638 nucleotides) under Gallus gallus (chicken). Its description in RNAcentral is "lncRNA (ENSGALG00010022598.1)". Lineage: Eukaryota; Metazoa; Chordata; Aves; Galliformes; Phasianidae. The record is from RNAcentral.